Anolis carolinensis (green anole) is the source of this 2386-nucleotide long non-coding RNA. RefSeq lists it as uncharacterized. Lineage: Eukaryota; Metazoa; Chordata; Lepidosauria; Squamata; Anolidae. The record is from RefSeq and is a predicted model, not a curated record. The transcript is spliced from 3 exons.
UUGGCCUCCACUUUCACAGGCCACUGGGAUCGCUGAGAGAAAAACUACUACCAACUGGCUUCGUUCGGCCUACUUCUCUCCUCAGAACGAUGCUAGCUCUGGGAGAGUUAACAGCCUCGGCCUACACUUUGGUAAUCCAAAACACCACUGCCACCACCAGAAAGGCCGGACCUGGACCAAACCUGACACACAUCACCCCAUGAACCCACUGACAACGGAUGGCCCCCUUUGGCCCCUCUGCUGACAUGUUUAAGGCCUUCCAGGCUGGCCCCUCGCUGCUAGGCCGAAAAGGAAGACGCCAUCUUGCCUCAGCUUUCAACUUCUUUGUAAGGCCCUACUUGCCUCAAAAGACAGCAGAGAACAUUGUUAUUAUCUUUUUAACGAUAUGCUUAUGAACACUUCUAGCCCCCAAAGCCCCAAUCCAAGCCUCCUUUGAUCAUUUUGCUAACACGUUUCAGGCCUUGCAGCCUGGCUCCAUUGUGCUAGGCCGCAAAAGAGGCAGCCAUCUUCCCUGUUCCACAUGGUUCCAAACAGAGCAGCUUUUGCCUGUGUCUUUUGGAUACAGCACUCUCCUUCAACAAGCUGUGGCAGUUUGUCUACUGGGGUGUCAAAUUUGAAGUCUGAUGGGAACAGAUCUGGAGCCCACAUUAACAGAAAAGUGUUGGCUACUCUACCAGUAACGACAUGCAAUGUGGAAAGAUCGUUUUCAACCAUGAAGAGAGUGAAAAGUGUAUCUAGAAGUUUAUUGACAGACCAAAGACUUAGUGACUAGCAAUGAUUUCCAUCCAUCGGGACAUCACUAUCAAACCAGAAAAAGUAAUUGACAAAAUGGCCGGGGAGAAGAAAAGAAGACUGUUGCUGUAAAGUAAAAAAUAAAUCAAAAAGUAUUCUAAACAAUUUGUUAAUGAAAGUAAAUAAAUAACAUUUAUUAUUUAAACUGUUAUGUUCAUUCAUAUCAUGAUCUAAUCACCAUGCUCAAUAUAUCCGGGCCUGAUUCUGGGUAUUUUAAAUUUAAGGAGAAGUCCAAUAGUAUUUAACGAAGAUCCAGCACACAACUUUUAGUUGUGUGAGGCAAAGGGCAAAAUGACACCCAUUCUCCAUUCCAUGUAUAGAAGCUGAGUUAAAAACCAGUUGGAUCUUAGAUCAAGCAGAAUCAAGACAGCCAUAUUGUCUAUUAACAGAAUGAAAUUAUUGGGAGACUUAGGAUGGAUAGUAAGGUAAUUGGUGCCACCUUAUUAUUUGCCAGCUGAGACGUUGCCUUAUUUUGACCACAACCAGCCUGAUUAAAUCAACCUUGUUCUUAAGGAGAUGCAACUACAACUACAGCUUUAGGAAAUCAAUUGGAUAAGAACUAAAACAAUGCCAAUUAACAUAGGCUGUACGCCCACUGCAAAAUUAUAGGAAUUUGACCCCCCAACCUUUAACAGUAAUGGUUCUGUCUUGUAGAAUUCUGGGAUUUGUAGCUUGAGGAGAUAAUAAUCAUCUCCACUAGGAAACUUUGGUAUCACUUUCUUGAAUGACAACGGUAAAGCUUUCUAGUAGAACAGUGGUUCUCAACUUUAAGUCCCCCAGAUGUUUGAAAUGCCAGCCUCCAGAAUUCCUGAUCAUUGAUUAUAUUGCUGAACAUCCGGAGGACCAAUAGUUGGGAUCUACUAUAAAAGAGAAUUCUAAAUCUCUCUCCAUACUAUAAAUUCUAGUAUUCCACAGCAUGAAGAAUUAUUAAGGUGCUAUAGCUAUUUAGUGUGGGUGCAUACAGGUUUACAUUUUAAAUUUAUCUGAUGUUAUAUCAAUGAUAUUCAAAUAUAUUUAUAGCAAAGUAUAUUUUAAAUUAAUUUAGAAGACAUAAUAUAAAAUGUAGAAAGAUGAACAUUGCUUGAGAUAGAAGCAUCAAGAGCUGGUGGCAGAAGUGUUAUUUAUUCAGGUUUAAUUCUGUCUUCUUGACAGACAGGAACAUGAUGAUAUGGCUGAAUUUGGCACUAGGAUUGGGGGUACAUCAGCUUGUUUAAGGGGCCAUACACCUGUCAAAGUAUAGUUUCCAGCUAUAACAACAAAAAAGCAGCAAGAUGAUUGCUGGGAGGAGAAGAACUAGUGGUGGCAGAAGUUAUUUCUCAGAAAGGCAGUAUCCCAUUGUCAGAUUAGUAUUGUCAGAUUCGUAAUGUUAUCAAGCCAAUACUUCUUUGCGUUUUUGGAAAAUGCCAUUUAUUUCAGUAGAAGCCAACAAUGAACAAUUUUGUAACAUAAGAUACAGAACUGUGGUAACGAAUGCAAGUUUAAAGAAAGGGACCAAUACUACUGCUAAUGCCCCAAUACAUUCCUUCUUGCAAGCCUAUAUAGUUUUCCAACUGGAUAGUGAACUCAUGUAUUCUAAUGGUCUUUCUCUUUUUUA